AUUGAACGCUGGCGGCAUGCUUUACACAUGCAAGUCGAACGGCAGCGCGGGCUUCGGCCUGGCGGCGAGUGGCGAACGGGUGAGUAAUGCAUCGGAACGUGCCCAGUAGUGGGGGAUAGCCCGGCGAAAGCCGGAUUAAUACCGCAUACGACCUGAGGGUGAAAGCGGGGGACCGAAAGGCCUUCCGCUAUUGGAGCGGCCGAUGUCGGAUUAGCUAGUUGGUGGGGUAAAGGCUUACCAAGGCGACGAUCCGUAGCUGGUCUGAGAGGACGACCAGCCACACUGGGACUGAGACACGGCCCAGACUCCUACGGGAGGCAGCAGUGGGGAAUUUUGGACAAAGGGGGCAACCCUGAUCCAGCCAUGCCGCGUGCGGGAAGAAGGCCUUCGGGUUGUAAACCGCUUUUGUUCGGGAAGAAAUCCUCUGGGCUAAUACCCCGGGGGGAUGACGGUACCGGAAGAAUAAGCACCGGCUAACUACGUG
RNAcentral lists this ribosomal RNA (484 nucleotides) under uncultured bacterium. RNAcentral describes it as "partial 16S ribosomal RNA". It matches the Rfam family "Bacterial small subunit ribosomal RNA", at positions 29 to 507 of the family's 1533-position model. The record is from RNAcentral.